RNAcentral lists this ribosomal RNA (303 nucleotides) under uncultured Actinomycetales bacterium. RNAcentral describes it as "bacterial SSU rRNA". It matches the Rfam family "Bacterial small subunit ribosomal RNA", at positions 355 to 670 of the family's 1533-position model. Lineage: Bacteria; Bacillati; Actinomycetota; Actinomycetes; Actinomycetales. The record is from RNAcentral.
UGGGGAAUAUUGCACAAUGGGCGAAAGCCUGAUGCAGCGACGCCGCGUGAGGGAUGACGGCCUUCGGGUUGUAAACCUCUUUCAGCAGGGACGAAGCGAAAGUGACGGUACCUGCAGAAGAAGCACCGGCCAACUACGUGCCAGCAGCCGCGGUAAUACGUAGGGUGCAAGCGUUGUCCGGAAUUAUUGGGCGUAAAGAGCUCGUAGGCGGCUUGUCGCGUCGGCUGUGAAAACCUGGGGCUCAACCCCGGGCCUGCAGCCGAUACGGGCAAGCUAGAAUUCGGUAGGGGAGACUGGAAUUCC